Molecule: ribosomal RNA, 1255 nt
Filed under: metagenome
Description: bacterial SSU rRNA
Rfam family: Archaeal small subunit ribosomal RNA
Source: RNAcentral
CGGGAUAUUCCUCCCGUGUUCGCUCGAGGAUGAGGCUGCGGCGUAUUAGGUAGUUGGCGGGGUAACUGCCCACCAAGCCGAGGAUACGUACGGGCCCUGAAAGGGGUAGCCCGGAGAAGGGAACUGAGACAAGGUCCCUAGCCCUACGGGGUGCAGCAGUCGCGGAACCUUUACACUGCACGAAAGUGUGAUAGGGGGAUUUCGAGUGGCCACACUGUGGCCUUUUGCCAAAUCCAAAUAAUUUGGCGAAUAAAGGGGGGGUAACAUACGUGCCAGCCGCCGCGGUAAUACGUAGUCCCUAAGUGGUUCCCACUUGUAUUGGGCCUAAAACACCUGUAGCCGGUGUGGUAAGUCCUUGGUGAAAUCGGCUCGCUCAACGAGUCGAAUUGCUAAGGAUACUGUCAUGCUAGGGGAAUUAAGACGUUAGGGGAAUUUUCGGGGUAACGGUGAAAUGUUAUGAUCCUGAAAAGACCUCCAGUAGCGAAGGCGCCUAACGAGGAAUAUCCCGACGGUGAGAGAUGAAAGCUGGGGGAGCGACCUGGAUUAGAUACCCAGUUAGUCCCAGCUGUAAACGAUGCUGACUAGGUGUUCCGUCUCCUACAUGGAUUCGGGGUGCCGAAGCGAAGGCAAUAAGUCAGCUGCCUGGGGAGUACGCCCGCAAGGGUGAAACUUAAUGGAAUUGGCGGGGGCUCACUACAAGGGGUGGAUGCUGCGGUUUAAUUGGAUGCAACGCCCGAAAAUCUUACCAGGGAAGACAGCAGGGUGAUUGACAGUCUGAAGGGCUUUCAUGACGCGCUGAGAGGUCCUGUAUGGCCACCGCCAGCUCGUACCGUGAGGCUUCCUGUUAACUCAGGCAACGGGCGAGACCCACGCUCUUAGUUGCUACUGUGGCUUUCGCUGCGGGCACUCUAGGAGGGCUGCGAUAGUAAUAUCGAGGAAGGAGUGGUCAACGGUAGGUCUGUAUGAGCCGAAUUUCCUGGGCAACACGCGGCACACAAUGGUUGAGACAAUGGGUUGCUAACCCGAAAGGGGGCGCUAAUCUCUCAAACUCAACCUCAGUUCGGAUCGAGGGCUGUAACCCGCCCUCGUGAAGUUGGAAUCCCCAGUAAUCGCGUGUCAUUAUCACGCGGUGAAUAAGUCCCUGAGCCUUGCACACACCGCCCAUCAAGCCAGCUGAGUGGAGUCUGGAUGAGCUUAUGCCUUUCGGUGUAAGCGAUUCUUGGUUUCGCGAAGGGGGCUAAGUUGUAACAAGGUG